CAGGCGGGGAUGCUAAUACAUGCAGUCGAGCGCAGGAAGCAAGUUGAUCCCCUUCGGGGGUGACGCUUGUGGAAUGAGCGGCGGACGGGUGAGUAACACGUGGGCAACCUGCCUGUAAGACUGGGAUAACCCCGGGAAACCGGGGCUAAUACCGGAUAAUACUUUCUUUUGCAUAAAGGAAAGUUGAAAGGCGGCUUCGGCUGUCACUUACAGAUGGGCCCGCGGCGCAUUAGCUAGUUGGUGAGGUAACGGCUCACCAAGGCGACGAUGCGUAGCCGACCUGAGAGGGUGAUCGGCCACACUGGGACUGAGACACGGCCCAGACUCCUACGGGAGGCAGCAGUAGGGAAUCUUCCGCAAUGGACGAAAGUCUGACGGAGCAACGCCGCGUGAGUGAUGAAGGUUUUCGGAUCGUAAAACUCUGUUGUUAGGGAAGAACAAGUUGGGUAGUAACUGACCCAACCUUGACGGUACCUAACCAGAAAGCCACGGCUAACUACGUGCCAGCAGCCGCGGUAAUACGUAGGUGGCAAGCGUUGUCCGGAAUUAUUGGGCGUAAAGCGCUCGCAGGCGGUCCUUUAAGUCUGAUGUGAAAUCUCGCGGCUCAACCGCGAACGGUCAUUGGAAACUGGAGGACUUGAGUACAGAAGAGGAGAGUGGAAUUCCACGUGUAGCGGUGAAAUGCGUAGAGAUGUGGAGGAACACCAGUGGCGAAGGCGACUCUCUGGUCUGUAACUGACGCUGAGGAGCGAAAGCGUGGGGAGCGAACAGGAUUAGAUACCCUGGUAGUCCACGCCGUA
RNAcentral lists this ribosomal RNA (800 nucleotides) under Oceanobacillus sp. JSM 101076. RNAcentral describes it as "bacterial SSU rRNA". It matches the Rfam family "Bacterial small subunit ribosomal RNA", at positions 36 to 804 of the family's 1533-position model. Lineage: Bacteria; Bacillati; Bacillota; Bacilli; Caryophanales; Bacillaceae. The record is from RNAcentral.